UACGAGGGGUGCAAGCGUUGCUCGGAAUUAUUGGGCGUAAAGGGUAGGUAGGUGGUCUGAUUUGUCAGGGGUGAAAGCCUUGAGCUUAACUCAAGAAGUGCCCCUGAAACGGUCAGACUCGAGUCUUGGAGAGGGUCGUGGAAUUCCCGGUGUAGCGGUGAAAUGCGUAGAGAUCGGGAGGAACACCAGAGGCGAAGGCGGCGACCUGGACAAGCACUGACACUCAACUACGAAAGCGUGGGGAGCAAAC
This 250-nucleotide ribosomal RNA is filed under the name uncultured bacterium. Its description in RNAcentral is "partial 16S ribosomal RNA". It matches the Rfam family "Bacterial small subunit ribosomal RNA", at positions 524 to 773 of the family's 1533-position model. The record is from RNAcentral.